ACUGGAAACUGGAUCCUGGUCUUGGUUCCAGAGUGGGUGGAAGACGGCGAGACCUCAACCAAGCUGCGGCAGUUCAUGGGGUCUGCGGUGGUUAUGGUUUCUAGUGGAGUGCUUGGAGCCUUCGGAAAGCACUAGGAGCAUGCGUCAACGGAGGUACCCAGUCGAUCCGUUACAGUGCAGAGUCCCAGACCUCUUUAUAUAGAUC
Pelobates cultripes (western spadefoot toad) is the source of this 205-nucleotide non-coding RNA. NCBI's taxonomy places the organism in Eukaryota, Metazoa, Chordata, Amphibia, Anura, Pelobatidae. The record is from the annotation of a GenBank genome assembly.